This 906-nucleotide ribosomal RNA is filed under the name Phaeosphaeria elongata. RNAcentral describes it as "SSU rRNA". It matches the Rfam family "Eukaryotic small subunit ribosomal RNA", at positions 102 to 1017 of the family's 1831-position model. Lineage: Eukaryota; Fungi; Ascomycota; Dothideomycetes; Pleosporales; Phaeosphaeriaceae. The record is from RNAcentral.
UAAAUCAGUUAUCGUUUAUUUGAUAAUACCUUACUACUUGGAUAACCGUGGUAAUUCUAGAGCUAAUACAUGCUGAAAAUCCCGACUUCGGAAGGGAUGUGUUUAUUAGAUAAAAAACCAAUGCCCUUCGGGGCUCCUUGGUGAUUCAUAAUAACUUUACGGAUCGCAUAGCCUUGCGCUGGCGACGGUUCAUUCAAAUUUCUGCCCUAUCAACUUUCGAUGGUAAGGUAUUGGCUUACCAUGGUUUCAACGGGUAACGGGGAAUUAGGGUUCGAUUCCGGAGAGGGAGCCUGAGAAACGGCUACCACAUCCAAGGAAGGCAGCAGGCGCGCAAAUUACCCAAUCCCGAUUCGGGGAGGUAGUGACAAUAAAUACUGAUACAGGGCUCUUUUGGGUCUUGUAAUUGGAAUGAGUACAAUUUAAACCUCUUAACGAGGAACAAUUGGAGGGCAAGUCUGGUGCCAGCAGCCGCGGUAAUUCCAGCUCCAAUAGCGUAUAUUAAAGUUGUUGCAGUUAAAAAGCUCGUAGUUGAAACUUGGGUCUGGCUGGCGGGUCCGCCUCACCGCGUGCACUCGUCCGGCCGGGCCUUCCUUCUGAAGAACCUCAUGCCCUUUACUGGGCGUGUUGGGGAAUCAGGACUUUUACUUUGAAAAAAUUAGAGUGUUCAAAGCAGGCCUUUGCUCGAAUACGUUAGCAUGGAAUAAUAAAAUAGGGCGUGCGUUUCUAUUUUGUUGGUUUCUAGAGACGCCGCAAUGAUUAACAGGAACAGUCGGGGGCAUCAGUAUUCAGUUGUCAGAGGUGAAAUUCUUGGAUUUACUGAAGACUAACUACUGCGAAAGCAUUUGCCAAGGAUGUUUUCAUUAAUCAGUGAACGAAAGUUAGGGGAUCGAAGACGAUCAGAUACCG